This 810-nucleotide long non-coding RNA is filed under the name Mus caroli (Ryukyu mouse). Its description in RNAcentral is "lncRNA (MGP_CAROLIEiJ_G0013631.1)". The stretch from base 201 to 472 matches the Rfam family "SOX2 overlapping transcript exon 3". The record is from RNAcentral. Lineage: Eukaryota; Metazoa; Chordata; Mammalia; Rodentia; Muridae.
GGGAUAGAGCAGUGUUAGGAUAACUGACUUUUUUGUUGUUCUCUGGGUGCAUUCUUCCCGCUCCCCCUCUCUCUCCCCCUCACCCUCUCUCUCUCUCUUUCUCCUCUCUCUCUCCCUCUCCCUCUCUCUCUCUCUUUUAAAAAAUCAGCCAUUUGGGGUUUUAAGCCAUAAACGAUUUUUCUUGUUGCAGGGGAUUGCAGAGGCAAAGCUAGACUAGGUCUUGGAAGCUGGUGUAAGGCGGUGCGCGGAAGGCAGGACGCUGAUGGGAGAGACUGGUCGAAGAAAAGCCGAAAUGGAUUCUCCGUGCCUUGGAUGGAGAAAGAGGGGGGAAGUGCGAGCUCCUUCAACUCGUUCUGUCCGGUGAGGAGUGAUCCAGCUUGGGCUGACGAGAGGCUCCGGAGCCUUCACGUUCAGUGCUUUUUACCUGCCAAUCAAACUGCUACAAGACAACACCCUGAUCUGGCAUGGUCGCGCGCCGCGGGUCCAAGCCUGUAGUCCCAAAUCGGAAAAUCUCUGCAGCUGGUACACGCAAAAGAGAAGCCAGGCAACAGACAUAUUACAGAAGAAAGCUCUCGACUCCGAGAUCGAACCUAGAAAUUGUACUCUCCUCAAUCCGCUUAAGAGAAUCUGGCUGAUGGCUUUGGUCUGAGAGUUCAGACAUCUCUUGUGCAGCUAAGAAAGACCUCAUUUUCCAUUUGCUGGAUCCUCCUGGUUUGUCAUCCCUGAAUCCUGUAAGAAGGUCAUCAGGAGGUCCCCUGCGCUAGAAGGACCAUGUGAGUUCAUCCCAGAUGAUGGGUGGCACCAUGGUUU